RNAcentral lists this ribosomal RNA (496 nucleotides) under uncultured bacterium. RNAcentral's name for it is "partial 16S ribosomal RNA". It matches the Rfam family "Bacterial small subunit ribosomal RNA", at positions 28 to 506 of the family's 1533-position model. The record is from RNAcentral.
GAUGAACGCUGGCGGCGUGCCUAAUACAUGCAAGUCGAGCGAACAGAUGAGGAGCUUGCUCCUCUGACGUUAGCGGCGGACGGGUGAGUAACACGUGGAUAACCUACCUAUAAGACUGGGAUAACUUCGGGAAACCGGAGCUAAUACCGGAUAAUAUAUUGAACCGCAUGGUUCAAUAGUGAAAGACGGUUUUGCUGUCACUUAUAGAUGGAUCCGCGCCGCAUUAGCUAGUUGGUAAGGUAACGGCUUACCAAGGCAACGAUGCGUAGCCGACCUGAGAGGGUGAUCGGCCACACUGGAACUGAGACACGGUCCAGACUCCUACGGGAGGCAGCAGUAGGGAAUCUUCCGAAAUGGGCGAAAGCCUGACGGAGCAACGCCGCGUGAGUGAUGAAGGUCUUCGGAUCGUAAAACUCUGUUAUUAGGGAAGAACAAAUGUGUAAGUAACUAUGCACGUCUGGACGGUACCUAAGCAGAAAGCCACGGCUAACUACGU